GAUGAACGCUGGCGGCGUGCCUAAUACAUGCAAGUCGAGCGAACAGACGAGGAGCUUGCUCCUCUGACGUUAGCGGCGGACGGGUAAGUAACACGUGGAUAACCUACCUAUAAGACUGGGAUAACUUCGGGAAACCGGAGCUAAUACCGGAUAAUAUAUUGAACCGCAUGGUUCAAUAGUGAAAGACGGUUUUGCUGUCACUUAUAGAUGGAUCCGCGCCGCAUUAGCUAGUUGGUAAGGUAACGGCUUACCAAGGCAACGAUGCGUAGCCGACCUGAGAGAGUGAUCGGCCACACUGGAACUGAGACACGGUCCAGACUCCUACGGGAGGCAGCAGUAGGGAAUCUUCCGCAAUGGGCGAAAGCCUGACGGAGCAACGCCGCGUGAGUGAUGAAGGUCUUCGGAUCGUAAAACUCUGUUAUUAGGGAAGAACAAAUGUGUAAGUAACUAUGCACGUCUUGACGGUACCUAAUCAGAAAGCCACGGCUAACUACGUG
This 497-nucleotide ribosomal RNA is filed under the name uncultured bacterium. RNAcentral describes it as "partial 16S ribosomal RNA". It matches the Rfam family "Bacterial small subunit ribosomal RNA", at positions 28 to 507 of the family's 1533-position model. The record is from RNAcentral.